GUGGUUGCUUCAAAAGUUUAUAUACUAAAAUUAGAAUGAUAGAGAAGUUUAGCAUGGCUCUGUGGAAGGAUGACAUGAAUUCACGCAGUAUUUCAUAUUUUU
Molecule: small nuclear RNA, 102 nt
Filed under: Octodon degus (degu)
Lineage: Eukaryota; Metazoa; Chordata; Mammalia; Rodentia; Octodontidae
Source: RNAcentral